GGACGGCCCCGACUUCCUCUCAGAGGAGGACCACGGACUUAAAGCAAUAAAUGUAGAUCUUCAAAGCGAUGCUGCUCUACAGGUGGACAUUUCUGAUGCUCUUAGUAAGAGAGAGAAAGUAAAAUUCACUGUUCACACAAAGAGUUCAUUGCCAAAUUUUUUAAAAAAUGAGUUUUCUGUUGUUCGACAACACGAGGAACUUAUCUGGCUUCAUGAUUCCUUCAUAGAAAGUGAAGACUAUGCAGGUUACAUUAUCCCUCCAAGCACCACCAAGACCUGAUUUUGAUGCCUCAAGGGAAAAACUACAGACACUUGGAGAAGAAGGGUCUAUGACAAAGGAAGAAUUCACAAAGAUGAAACAGGAGCUGGAAGCUGAGUACUUGGCAAUGUUCAAGAAGACCGUUGCAGCGCAUGAAGUGUUCCUGUGUUGUGUGGCAGCACAUCCCAUUUUGAGGAAAGAUUUAAAUUUCUAUGUCUUCCUGGAAUAUAAUCAAGAUUUGACUGUGCGAGGAAAAAAUAAAAAAGAGAAACUUGAAGAUUUCUUUAAAAAUGUGGUUAAAUCAGCAGAUGAAGUAGUUGUUUCUUGCGUAAAGGAUGUAGAUGAUUUCUUUGAGCACGAACGAACAUUCCUUUUAGAAUAUCAUAACCGAGUUAAGGAUGCAUCUGCUAAAUCUGAUAGGAUGAUGAGAUCCCACAAAAGUGCUGCAGAUGAUUACAAUAGAAUUGGUUCUUCAUUACAUGCUUUAGGAACUCAGAAUUCUGCACAUAUAUGCAAGUUUUUCUUAAAGGUUCAGAACUGUUUGAUAAAACAAGAAAAAGUGUCAGCUGAUGAGGACCUCAAACUUUCUGACCUUUUAAAAUAUUACUUAAGAAGAAUCUCAAGCUGCUAAGGAUCUCCUCUAUCAAAGAUCUAGGUCACUACUGGAUUAUGAAAAUGGUAAUAAAGCACUGGAUAAAGCAAGAGUGAAAAAUAAAGAUGUUCUGUAGGAUGAAACGUCCCAACAAUUAUGCUGUCAGAAAUUUGAAAAAAUAUCUGUAUCUGCAAGACAAGAAUGUAGAGAUUUUAAGACAAGAAGAGUUGCUGCAUUCAGAAAAAAAUUAGUGGAACUGGCAGAGUUAGAACUGAAGCAUGCAAAGGUAGUGUCAUAUUAAAGAUUUAAUAAUUUAAGUGACAUAAUUUAGUAAUGAGUCAGUUAUGAAACCUUAUUCUAGUUUUAAAAAUAGAGAAUCUUAGAAAUGAGAGGGAUUUUAAAGAUCAUCUAAUUUAAACAAGAAUAAUAUCUGUAAUAGAUCUAAUGGUCAGCUUUGCAAGACUCUAGUACCUAAUAUGGAAAAACAGUAUCAUUUUUUGACUAGUUGUUAAAAAAAAUAAAUCUUCCUUAAAAAAAAAACAAACUGACUCAACAAAUAUGCUUUGAGUGCCUGCUUACUAUUUACCAGACAUUGUGCUAAAUGCAGGCCUUAAAAAUAUAAACAAGUAGAAUCCUCUGUCCUGGAGGUCAUAAUUUUGCAGGGAAAGAGAACAGCUACCAAGCAAUGUGGUUGCUGCUAUAACAGAACCAGAACCAGAGGAGAGAACAUCCACCUGUCAGGUUAGUGGUAUAUAUAGGAGU
RNA transcript from Balaenoptera musculus (blue whale), 1613 nucleotides. It is a transcript of the gene named sorting nexin-6-like, with no coding region annotated. The record is from RefSeq and is a predicted model, not a curated record. NCBI's taxonomy places the organism in Eukaryota, Metazoa, Chordata, Mammalia, Artiodactyla, Balaenopteridae. The transcript has a single exon.